AGCAGCCGCGGUAAUUCCAGCCCCAAUAGCGUAUAUUAAAGUUGUUGCAGUUAAAAAGCUCGUAGUUGAAUUUCGGGGUUAGCAGGUCGGUCGUGCCAUUGGUAUGAACUGGUCUCGCUGAUCCCUCCCUCUUGACGAACUGUGAUGCCAUUAAUUUGGUGUCGCAGGGAAUCAGGACUGUUACUUUGAAAAAAUUAGAGUGUUUAAAGCAGGCUUUCGCUUGAAUACAUUAGCAUGGAAUAAUGAAAUAGGACGUUUGAUUCUAUUUUGUUGGUUUCUAGGAUCGACGUAAUGAUUAAUAGGGAUAGUUGGGGGCAUUAGUAUUCAAUUGUCAGAGGUGAAAUUCUUGGAUUUAUUGAAGACUAACUACUGCGAAAGCAUUUGCCAAGGAUGUUUUCAUUAAUCAAGAACGAAAGUUAGGGGAUCGAAGACGAUCAGAUACCGUCGUAGUCUUAACCAUAAACUAUGCCGACUAGGGAUCGGGCGAUGUUGUUUCCAUGACUCGCUCGGCACCUUAUG
RNAcentral lists this ribosomal RNA (519 nucleotides) under uncultured Glomeromycotina. Its description in RNAcentral is "SSU rRNA". It matches the Rfam family "Eukaryotic small subunit ribosomal RNA", at positions 569 to 1092 of the family's 1831-position model. The record is from RNAcentral. Lineage: Eukaryota; Fungi; Glomeromycota.